GCCAGGUGUGGUGGCGCAUGCCUGUAGUCCCAGCUACUGGGGAGGCUGAGUCAGGAGACUCGCUUGAACCCAGGAGGCGGAGGUUGCAGUGAGCCAAGAUGGCGCCACUGCACUCCAGCCUGGGUGACAGACUGAGACCCUGUCUCAA
This 148-nucleotide non-coding RNA is filed under the name Pan troglodytes (chimpanzee). Lineage: Eukaryota; Metazoa; Chordata; Mammalia; Primates; Hominidae. The record is from Rfam by way of RNAcentral.